Molecule: ribosomal RNA, 436 nt
Filed under: Aeromonas sp. Carola18
Lineage: Bacteria; Pseudomonadati; Pseudomonadota; Gammaproteobacteria; Aeromonadales; Aeromonadaceae
Description: bacterial SSU rRNA
Rfam family: Bacterial small subunit ribosomal RNA
Source: RNAcentral
GGCAGCGGGAAAGUAGCUUGCUACUUUUGCCGGCGAGCGGCGGACGGGUGAGUAAUGCCUGGGAAAUUGCCCAGUCGAGGGGGAUAACAGUUGGAAACGACUGCUAAUACCGCAUACGCCCUACGGGGGAAAGCAGGGGACCUUCGGGCCUUGCGCGAUUGGAUAUGCCCAGGUGGGAUUAGCUUGUUGGUGAGGUAAUGGCUCACCAAGGCGACGAUCCCUAGCUGGUCUGAGAGGAUGAUCAGCCACACUGGAACUGAGACACGGUCCAGACUCCUACGGGAGGCAGCAGUGGGGAAUAUUGCACAAUGGGGGAAACCCUGAUGCAGCCAUGCCGCGUGUGUGAAGAAGGCCUUCGGGUUGUAAAGCACUUUCAGCGAGGAGGAAAGGUUGGUAGCUAAUAASUGCCARCUGUGACGUUACUCGCAGAAGAAGC